RNAcentral lists this ribosomal RNA (567 nucleotides) under Microbacterium testaceum. RNAcentral describes it as "bacterial SSU rRNA". It matches the Rfam family "Bacterial small subunit ribosomal RNA", at positions 64 to 644 of the family's 1533-position model. Lineage: Bacteria; Bacillati; Actinomycetota; Actinomycetes; Micrococcales; Microbacteriaceae. The record is from RNAcentral.
GAACGGUGAAGCCAAGCUUGCUUGGUGGAUCAGUGGCGAACGGGUGAGUAACACGUGAGCAACCUGCCCUGGACUCUGGGAUAAGCGCUGGAAACGGUGUCUAAUACUGGAUAUGAGGCGUGAUCGCAUGGUCAUGUUUGGAAAGAUUUUUCGGUCUGGGAUGGGCUCGCGGCCUAUCAGCUUGUUGGUGAGGUAAUGGCUCACCAAGGCGUCGACGGGUAGCCGGCCUGAGAGGGUGACCGGCCACACUGGGACUGAGACACGGCCCAGACUCCUACGGGAGGCAGCAGUGGGGAAUAUUGCACAAUGGGCGCAAGUCUGAUGCAGCAACGCCGCGGGAGGGAUGACGGCCUUCGGGUUGUAAACCUCUUUUAGCAGGAAAGAAGCGUGAGUGACGGUCCCUGCAGAAAAAGCGCCGCCUAACUACGCGCCAGCAGCCGCGGUAAUACGUAGGCCGCAAGCGUAAUCCGGAAUUAUUGGGCGUAAAGAGCUCGUAGCCGGUUUGUCGCGUCUGCUGUGAAAUCCCGAGGCUCACCCUCGGGCCUGCAGUGGGUACGGACAGACUAG